UCCCCGAUAGCUCAGUCGGUAGAGCAGGUGACUGUUAAUCACCUUGUCCCAGGUUCGAGUCCUGGUCGGGGAG
This 73-nucleotide transfer RNA is filed under the name Spirochaetia bacterium. Its description in RNAcentral is "tRNA-Asn". It matches the Rfam family "tRNA". Rfam says of the family: Transfer RNA (tRNA) molecules are approximately 80 nucleotides in length. Their secondary structure includes four short double-helical elements and three loops (D, anti-codon, and T loops). Lineage: Bacteria; Pseudomonadati; Spirochaetota; Spirochaetia. The record is from RNAcentral.